GGGUCGUUAGCUCAGUCGGUAGAGCAGCGGACUUUUAAUCCGACGGUCGCGGGUUCAACCCCGCACGACCCA
RNAcentral lists this transfer RNA (72 nucleotides) under Beta vulgaris subsp. vulgaris (sugar beet). It matches the Rfam family "tRNA". From Rfam's summary of the family: Transfer RNA (tRNA) molecules are approximately 80 nucleotides in length. The record is from Rfam by way of RNAcentral. Lineage: Eukaryota; Viridiplantae; Streptophyta; Magnoliopsida; Caryophyllales; Amaranthaceae.